AACGAACGCUGGCGGCAGGCCUAACACAUGCAAGUCGAGCGCGCCUUCGGGUGAGCGGCGGACGGGUGAGUAACGCGUGGGAAUAUGCCCUUCUCUACGGAAUAGUCCUGGGAAACUGGGGGUAAUACCGUAUACGCCCUUUGGGGGAAAGAUUUAUCGGGGAAGGAUUAGCCCGCGUUGGAUUAGGUAGUUGGUGGGGUAAUGGCCUACCAAGCCGACGAUCCAUAGCUGGUUUGAGAGGAUGAUCAGCUACACUGGGACUGAGACACGGCCCAGACUCCUACGGGAGGCAGCAGUGGGGAAUCUUAGACAAUGGGGGCAACCCUGAUCUAGCCAUGCCGCGUGAGUGAUGAAGGCCUUAGGGUUGUAAAGCUCUUUCAGCUGGGAAGAUAAUGACGGUACCAGCAGAAGAGGCCCCGGCUAACUCCGUG
Molecule: ribosomal RNA, 431 nt
Filed under: uncultured bacterium
Lineage: Bacteria
Description: partial 16S ribosomal RNA
Rfam family: Bacterial small subunit ribosomal RNA
Source: RNAcentral